CCUACGGGGGGCAGCAGUGGGGGAUAUUGCACAAUGGGGGAAACCCUGAUGCAGCGACGCCGCGUGGGUGAAGAAGUAUUUCGGUAUGUAAAGCCCUAUCAGCAGGGAAGAAAGAAGACGGUACCUGACUAAGAAGCCCCGGCUAACUACGUGCCAGCAGCCGCGGUAAUACGUAGGGGGCGAGCGUUAUCCGGAUUCACUGGGUGUAAAGGGAGCGUAGACGGCCGUGCAAGCCAGGAGUGAAGGCCCGGGGCCCAACCCCGGGACUGCUCUUGGAACUGUGCGGCUGGAGUGCGGGAGGGGCAGGCGGAAUUCCUGGUGUAGCGGUGAAAUGCGUAGAUAUCAGGAGGAACACCGGCGGCGAAGGCGGCCUGCUGGACCGCGACUGACGUUGAGGCUCGAAAGCGUGGGGAGCGAACAGGAUUAGAUACCCCUGUAGUC
This 441-nucleotide ribosomal RNA is filed under the name uncultured bacterium. RNAcentral describes it as "partial 16S ribosomal RNA". It matches the Rfam family "Bacterial small subunit ribosomal RNA", at positions 338 to 795 of the family's 1533-position model. The record is from RNAcentral.